AAAUUCAUAAAGCAAAAAAUUCAAAAAAAAAAUGUAUGUAAAUAGUACAUCCGAGGUAUCUACAAACAAAAACCUAUAACAAUAAAUAUGUUACUAAUGUUACAAAUGCUAAACCCAACAAUGAGGAGCGGACAAGAGAGGAAGCUGAAGCAAUCUGAAUGAUAAAAUUACAUGUCCCUUGUGAAAUAUUCUGUGAAGUAACCAUGGCCAAACCUUGAAAAUUACAGGCCAUGGGGUCCUGAUUCUGUACCUGGAAGUACAUAUUGAAUGCAUAUGAAGCAUUUCCAUUAGCAUCCAAGCCAUUACAAGAGGAGCCAUAUCCAAGCGCCGUGCAAUCUGAAAAAGUGCAAGCAUAAUCUAUGUUAUCUGCAAGCUUGCUAAGGUCCUUGGCAUUUGGAUUAAACAUACACCAUUUUGAUGGUUGAUAUUGCACAUUCUGUGCACUCACAGGAAACUUGUUCUGACCCUGACCAGUAAAAUCUAAUGCAAAUUUAGGCUGGCCAUCGUACCGAAAGAUUCCCCAAUGGCGCUCAAAAUUUCCAGGAGCUAUGCUUUUUGCAUCUUCAUCAAGAAGACCAAACAAGUAAACUUCUAUGUAUCCAGGUCGAAGCGGGGUGCCUCUACUGCUUGCAAGUCGCUGUAACAGCCCAUUGUAAAAUCUGUAAGCAUAGUUUAUAGUUGCACUCUUGUCCCCAUCAGUGGGCCAACCUACCUCCCCAACUAUGAUGGUCAUCUCUCCAAAUCCUACUGUUUUGAGGGCUGUGACCAAGGUGUCGAAGUUAGCAUCAAAAACAUUGGUGUACUGAAUCCCAGUGCUUUUGUCUACAAUGGGUUGUGAUGCUCCAUCAAAGAAAGCAUAGUUAAUAGGGAAGUUAUCAUUUCCAUAGAGACUUAGGAAAGGGUAAAUGUUCACUGUGAAAGGUGCAUUAUUCUUAUUCAGAAACUGAAUGAUCUGGCUCAUGAGGUCACUGAUAUCACUGCGGAAUCUUCCAGCGGAUGGAUAAGGCUGGUCAUCGGGUGAGUUGUAGACAUCAGCAUUCAGGGGUACAGUGGCCUUUAUAGAGUCUCCCACCCCAGCUUCAUUGAGGGCAUUUUGAAUGUUUUGAAGUGCUGGGAAGGUCAAGUUUAUGAAUGACCCAUUGUAGGAUGUGAGGAAAGGCUCAUUACCAACUGCAACAUACUUGAUGUUAACCCCUCCAUUGAAGUUGUAGAUUGAGACAUUCCUCUUGACCCAAUCCUUGGCACGAUUGUAAUCAUUCAUGGCAGCCAGUUGGUCAUUGGGUAUAGCCACCAUGACUUCAAUACCACUUCCAGCAAGUGCACUCAUGGUGUUUCGGUCUGCAUCAAAAAGCUUCACUUUUUGGAUCCCAUUGUCCUUUAACAUUUGCACCACUGUCUUUGGUGGUAAUUUGUGAGUAGCCUGGGUUCCCCAAUUAAUCCCCAGACCGUAAACACAAGUUCCCAAUAGGCCUAGAAGCAAAACCCAUCUAAGAAACCAAGAACCACCCAUUUUAGUGGAGAAUUUAGGGGGAAAGGGAAUUGCGCUAAAAGGAUGAUAAAGUUGUCAAAUGGAUUAUUUAUUGAUCAAAAUUCACCCCUUUUUCGUCUUCUCUCUUCUCUGCUAAGGGUGAGACUUGAGAGUUGUGUCAGAGAGGUUUAUGAGAAAGAGAGGGAAAGCAAUGGCUUUUGGCAUGUGGGUACGCAGAAAGAGCGAAAAAUAUGCGAUUUAAUCCCACGGAAUUGAUAUUUUGAGAUCGAGAUGUGCGCUGUUAUGAGAUAGACUGAGAGAGAGCAGAAGAAUCUCAAUGAAUAUCCAAAAGGUAUUAAAAAAAAUAAAAAAGCAGAGGAGAGAGAAAUUUAUACUUAUGGUGGUGUAUGGAGAACCAACAAGGACCACUGCCGAGAAACAGCCCUUGGGAUAGAGAAAGCAGUUAAGGAAGAAACAUUAACGGAGAAACGAAAACAGAACAGAACAGAACAGAACAAAUCAAGAUAAAACCGAAAGAAUGAUGGCAACUGAACUUAUUAACAAAAAAAUGAAUACUAAAGACGGUGGAAGUAACCGAUUUUGGAAAAUGCGUUUUGAAUCAAACUUGAAAAGUGGAAAAAGAUCACGAGUUUGAAAAAACAGGGGAUUUACGUAGAGUUACACGGAAAAAAACAGAGAAAUGUUCGUCAGAAGCCCCCAGAAGAAGACCAGAACCAUGUGUUUUGUACGUGGAUUCUAUUAAAAGAGAAUAGGAAAAAAUUUUCAAAUCAAAUGCUGAUUAAAACAAAUACAAAAUGGACAACAAAGAGAGAAUUUUUGACAGUGAAAAUGUGAAAAAAAAAGGGCAAUGAGGAAACGACAACGAAACCAAAAAGAAGCCUGAAAUUGUGAGAUGGGUUUUUGUGUCAAUUCAGAGAUUUCAGAGAACUCUUAACGGCUAGAAUUUGAGAAAUUCAUAGCUAAAAAAGAAAAGGGUUUAAGCUUAGAAAAGGUUUACAUAUUGCUAAUCCUCGGAAAUGAAAGAACAUAUAUAUGACACGAAACACACAGAAAGCUUAGGCAACAAAGCAAUCUUAGAUAAAAAUACGAAGUUACAAAGAAAGAGAAGGAGGGUUUGAGAAAGUUCUUUUCUUUGAUAUUUGGGUUAUAGGAUUCAAAUCCUUUCUCUUAAUCUUCCUCUGCUUCUGUUCUUCAUUUUCUUUAAUCUUUCUCUAGCAUUUGGAAAGU
Molecule: unclassified non-coding RNA, 2716 nt
Filed under: Hevea brasiliensis (rubber tree)
Lineage: Eukaryota; Viridiplantae; Streptophyta; Magnoliopsida; Malpighiales; Euphorbiaceae
Source: RNAcentral